Dama dama (fallow deer) is the source of this 1230-nucleotide long non-coding RNA. RefSeq lists it as uncharacterized. The transcript has 5 exons. NCBI's taxonomy places the organism in Eukaryota, Metazoa, Chordata, Mammalia, Artiodactyla, Cervidae. The record is from RefSeq and is a predicted model, not a curated record.
CGGGGCAGGGCGGGGGCCCGCUGCGCCCCGUGCUGUGUGACCCCAAGGCCGCCACUCGCCCUCUCUGAGCUGCUGGGGAGCAUGGGAGAGGGCAGCCCAGACCUGGGGCCUUUUUGGGGGCUUCUGGGGCGCUGGGUCCCAGCCCCAGCUCCGUUCUGUCCCGUCUCAGCUCUGAAUGGGUUGCUCUCCCUCUCUGAGCCUCAGUUUGUGCACCUGUGGAAUGGUAGUGGGCUGCCCUUCAGGGUGAUGGGGGCUGGUGUGGCUGGAUCCCGCAGAGGGGCCGCAUAGACGGGCAGGGCCUUAGGCCCUUGGCCGGACUGGGUCUGGCCUGGGAGCCUCUUGUUUGUUGUCUGGGUGGGCAGCGCAGGGCACGGACCCCAGCUCCGGUCCGGGUGUGGUGCCGAGCUUCCUGCCCAGGGCUGUGCUCUCGGCCCCGGAGGACGCGACUCUUCACUGCCCGCCAGGUGAGACGACCUUCAUUCUGGACUCUGGAGCUGUGGCCUUGGGAUAGGACUCCACGCCCCUGGGAGGGCCUCUGGCCCCCUGUGACCCCUGCAAGACUAGUGCCCCAGCCCACCAUCGUCUCUUGAGAAGUAGGGGGGUAUUGAGCACCGCCGCAGCCCCCAGGCCUCAGCCUGGCAGGAAGUCACCAAAGCAGCCACGGUGUCAGGGUGAGGUGAGGCUGGCCGGCUCCCCUCCCAUCCACGGGCCUCAGCGAAGCCAGUACUUAGCUGACGCUUCACACCCAGCUCAGAGGGCAUAGAAUCUGCCUGCGGUGCCGGAGCGCAGGGCUCAUCCCUCGGUGCAGAAGACCCCCUGGAGGAGGGAAAUGGCAACCCGCUCCAAAGUAUUCUGGCCUGGAGAACCCCAUGGACAGAGGAGCCUGGCGGGCUGCAGUCCGUGGGGUUGCAGAGUCAGACACGACUGAGCAGUUUACAUGUUCACACUUUCCAACCCACUUCAUCUCUCAUUGCACUGGACGGCCAGUGACUUUCCCAAGACCCCACGCAGGUGAGAUGGGGCAGGCCGGCCCCAGAGCCCGUGAGGCCGACACAGUGGCCCUCACCCGUUGGUCACAGGCCAGCUGCCUGUGAGACACACACACACAGACACACACCCGUGCCUGGAAGAAAGGCCCUCGGGGGUGGAAUUCAUGGGAACAGGGGAGCAGCUGACAGCUUCCUCUUGCAGACACAGAGAGUCCUCACAUUGCUCCCCGCAGGCUUCAGA